CAUUGUAUUGUAUUUUUCUAGUCGAAUUCUUUAGAAUAAGCAUUGCAUUUGUACUACUGAUUGUGUCAUUUGUAUUUUUUCGUGUGGAUUAGGACUCUCUUAGUUAUUUAUUUGUGUGGAUUUUCAUCUCUGCAUUUCUUUGUUUGAUUCCUUGAAUCUUUAAUUGUAGUUGUGUGCUGUGUUAGUUUUUGAUGGUUUGCAGAUGCCAUAAAAAGUAAUAAAAGAGUGCUUUAUUUUGUCAGUCGAACAAGAUUGUUAAAUGCUCUGUUUCUGUAGGGAAAUCAACCAAAACAGUGUUAUCUAAUUAGGGUGCCCUGCUGUUAGGUCUACUUCUAGGGUUUUGUAACAGGCUUCCUCUAAUUGGAUCGUGUCCAGUUUUGUGGGGACUUAUUUGUACUCAUGCUUUUCUUCCUAAUAAACAUGAAUUAGCAAGUCGCCAUGAGGUCUAUCUCUGUCAAACAACCAGAAAAAGACAAUAAUAUCUGUCAACUAACAGGUACCUGGACACCCAAAACAAUCCUAAUGUGUGGAUUAGUGUGCUUUGUUAUUUCAUCAUGAUUGCAGAUGCCAUAAAAAGUAAUAAAAGAUGGCUUUAUUUUGCCAGUUGAACAAGAUUGUCAAAUGCUUUGUUUGUGUAGGGAAAUCAACCAAAAACAAUGUUAUCUUAAUUAGGAUGCCCUGUUGUUAGGUCUACUUCUAGGGCUUUGUCAUAGGCUUCCUCUAAUUGUAUCAUGUGCAGUUUUGUGGGGACUUAUUUGUACACAUGCUUUUCUUCUCAAUAAACAAGAAUUAGCAAGCCACCAUGUGGUCGAUCUCUGUCAAACAACCAAGAAAAGACAAUAAUAUCUGUGAACUAACAGAAGGUCCCUUGACACCCAAAAGAGCCAUAAUGUGUCAUCGUCAUAUGGAUGCUUCCAUAUUCUCUAUAAUAAGUUUAGAAAAGAAAGUAGAAGUGCCUUCCACCAAGCAGGUUCUACAAUCUACUCUUGUCAACCACAGGCUAUUUUCUAGCUCGAUAGUCAGUACAGACAUUCAUUUCCUUUCUAAUUGACAAACUAGGUUUAGAAAAACAAGUACAUGGCAGGCUCUGCAAUCUAGUCUUGCCAACCACAGGGCCAUAUUUAGAAUGCCUCUCUAAUUUAUGGAUUUAGUAAACUUAUUAAUUUUAAUGACAAACUAGGCUUAGAAAACCACAGGGCCAUUUUUAGAAUGCCUCUUUAAUUUAUGAAAUUAGUAAACUGAUUAAUUUUUGUGACAGACCAGGCUUAGAAAAACAAGUAGAUGCGCCUUCCACCAGAAAGGUUUUGCAAUCUAGUCUUGACAACCACGGGGCCACUUUCCAUCUCAAUAGUCAGUAUAAUACUAUAAAGCAUUCUUUUUCUUUUUAAUUUAUGGAUCUAGUAAAAUGGUUAAUUUUCAUGACAAACUAGACUUAGAAAAAUAAGUAGAUGUGCCUUCCACCAAGCAGGCUAUGCAAUCUUCUCUUGUCAACCACAUGCCAUUUUGCAGCUCAAUAGUCAGUACAGGCAUUCUUUUCUUUGUAAUUUAUGGAUUUAGUGAACUGGUUAAUUUUUAUGAAAAUCUAUGCUUAUAAUACAAGUGUAGAUGUGUCUUCCACCAACUAAGCUUUGCAAUUUACUAUUGUCAACCACAGGCCAUUUUGCAGCUCAAUAGUUAGUACAAGCAUUCUUUUCCUUUGUAAUUUAUGGAUUUAGUUAAUUAGUUAAUUUUUAUGACAAACCAGGUUUUAAAAAACAAGAAGAUGUGUCUUCCACCAAGUAGGCUCUGCAUUCUACUGUUGUCAACCACAAGCCAUUUUGUAACUCAAUACUCCUCCAUCCUGAUGUGAAGCAGAGGCUGUACCGAAUAUGAGAAUCCAGUGGGAAUUCUACUGUUACAAGAACCACCUACCACAUACACACCAGUACAGAAGCUCUCCAUCCCAGUAAACUAUAAUGAAUGCUAUUCAUUAUUCUCUGCAUUGGAUCUGAGUUUCAGUUCUAAUACAGAGAAUGCAGUUAUGCCAUGAGGAUGAUUAGAAUUAAUAUUGAAUAAAAUUACGGAUCAGUACUUCUCCAACGUGUAUGGUGGAGGCCUAGAAAAAUACAGAUGCAAUUUUCAGUCUCCAUACAAGCUCUUUCUUGGAAAUGCUAAAGAGAUGAUGAAGAUGAUGCAGAAGGCUAGUUCUAAUCCUAUGCGAUAGUUUUCUCAUUCUAUCAUCAGUGGACCAAAAUCUAUGGGAGCACAUUCUUGCUUUGGUUUGGACCUGUUGCAGGAACAAAUAUUGCAGAUCCCCAGCUGGUGCAAGAGAUACUCUCUGUGAGAUCUGAUGAUUAUGAGAAAAUCGAGGCCAAUAAUGCUCUCAAGAAAUUGGAAGGUGAAGAGUUACUGGACUUGAAAGGCGAGAAAUGAGCUCAACAUAGAAGAAUCAUCAGUCCUGCUUUUCACAUGGAAAAUAUCAAAAAGGUUUAUUUCUUUUAACAUGGGUUGGAGGAGUUAUGCUUUUCAACAAUGAGCUAUAAAUUUGAUUGCUAAGGUACGUCCAAUAAUUCAAACUUCUUAUUUUGGAGAAUUUAAUGUUUUUGCUAACCAAUAGACAAGGGCUCAAGACUGCUAGAUUAGUACUCUAUUUCCUUUAGGUCAUUCAAACUUUAGCUCCCUACUGUCUCAGAGAUGGCUAGUAAAUGAGCAUUGUGCAACUUUCUUUUGGAUUGGAAGAAAUAAUACAAAAAAGAAGUCAAAGAAUGCUAUAAUUUUAAAGAUGUCAAUAGCUGGUUUAAUUGGAAAUGGUUGUGUAGUGAUAAAAAUUUGAAGAACUUGUAAAUAUUACCUAACAAUUAUAAUUAAUAAAAAGUUUUUCAUUUUAA
This is a long non-coding RNA of Cryptomeria japonica (Japanese cedar), 2867 nucleotides long. RefSeq lists it as uncharacterized. The record is from RefSeq and is a predicted model, not a curated record. The transcript has 4 exons. Lineage: Eukaryota; Viridiplantae; Streptophyta; Pinopsida; Cupressales; Cupressaceae.